GACGAACGCUGGCGGCGUGCUUAACACAUGCAAGUCGAACGGAAAGGCUCCAGCUUGCUGGAGUACUCGAGUGGCGAACGGGUGAGUAACACGUGGGUAAUCUGCCCUGCACUCUGGGAUAAGCCUGGGAAACUGGGUCUAAUACUGGAUAUGACCUUUCUCCUUAUGGGGUUUUGUGGAAAGUUUUUCGGUGUAGGAUGGGCCCGCGGCCUAUCAGCUUGUUGGUGGGGUGAUGGCCUACCAAGGCGACGACGGGUAGCCGGCCUGAGAGGGUGAUCGGCCACAUUGGGACUGAGAUACGGCCCAGACUCCUACGGGAGGCAGCAGUGGGGAAUAUUGCACAAUGGGCGGAAGCCUGAUGCAGCGACGCCGCGUGAGGGAUGACGGCCUUCGGGUUGUAUACCUCUUUCAGCAGGGACGAAGCGUAAGUGACGGUACCUGCAGAAGAAGCACCGGCUAACUAUGUG
RNAcentral lists this ribosomal RNA (467 nucleotides) under uncultured bacterium. Its description in RNAcentral is "partial 16S ribosomal RNA". It matches the Rfam family "Bacterial small subunit ribosomal RNA", at positions 28 to 507 of the family's 1533-position model. The record is from RNAcentral.